CUUGGUUGAUCCUACCAAUAGUCACAUGCUUGUAUCAAAGAUUGAGCCAUGUAUGUGUCAGUAUGAACUAAUUCAAAUUGUGAAACUAUGAUUGGCUCAUUAAAUGAAUUAUAGUUUGUUUGAUGGUAUUUGCUACUUGGAUAACUGUAGUACUUCUAGAGCUAAUAUGUGCAACAAACCCUAACUUUUGGAAGGGAUGUAUUUAUUAGAUAAAGGGUUGACACAAGCUUUGCCCGUUGCUCUGAUGAUUCAUGAUAACUCAACAGAUGGCAUAGCCAUUAUGCCAACAAUGCAUCAUUCAAAUUUCUACCCUAUCAACUUUCAUGGUAGGAUGGUGGCCUACUAUGGUGGUAAUGGGUGACAAAAAAUUAGGGUUCGAUUUUGGAUAGGGAGCCUAAAAAAAAGCUACCACAUCUAAGGAAGGUAGCAAGAGUGCAUAUUACCCAAUCCUGACAUAGGGAGGUAGUAAUAAUAAAUAACAAUAGUAGGCUCUAUAAGUCUAAUAAAUAGAAUGAGUACAAUCUAAAUCCCUUAAUGAAGAUCCUUUGGAUGGCAGUUAGGGUGCCAGCAACUGUAGUAAUUCUAGCUUCAAUAGCAUAUAUUUAAAGUGUUACAGUUAAAAAGCUUGUAGUUGAAACAUGAGUUAGGUCAUUUGGUCCACCUUAUAGUGAGCAUCAGUCUACUCAUCCUUACUAUUGGUGAUGUGCUUCUGGCCUUAACUGGCUAGGUCAUUCUUCUGGCACAGUUACUUUCAAGAAAUUAGAGUGCUCAAAAUAGACCUACACUUGUAUACAUUUGCAUCGAAUAACAUCAUAGGAUCAAUGGAUGUUACUUUUAGGACUCUACCUACGCAUUAUGAAAAAUUAAAGUUUUUGGGUUCUAGGGGAAGUAUGGUUGCAAGGCUAAAACUUAAAGGAAUUGAAGGAAGGGCAACACUGGGAGUGGAGCUUGCAAUUUAAUUUGACUCGAGAAACUUACCAGGUCUAGAUAGAGUAAGGAUUCACAAACUAAAAGCUUUUUUUUUAUUCUAUAGGUGGUGGUGCAUGGCCAUUCUUAGUUGGUGGAGUGAUUUGCUAGUUAAUUCCAUUAACGAAUGAGACCUCAGCCAGCUAAUUAACUACAUAGAGGUGAUCCUUCAUGGCUAGCUUCUUAGAGGAACAAUGGCCACUAAGGCCAAGGAAGUCUGAGGUAAUAAAAGGUCUAUGAUGCCCUUAGAUGUUCUAAGCUACAAGCAUGCUACACUGAUGUAUUUAAUGAGUCUAUAGCCUUGGCUGAAAGGUCCAUGUAAUCUUUGAAAUUUCAUCAUGAUAGGGUUAAAUCAUUGUAAUUGUUGGUCUUCAAUUGGGAAUUCCUAGUAAGUGCAAGUCAUUAGCUCAUGUUGGUUAUGUGCCUGCCCUUUGUACAUGCCACCUGUCACUCCUACUUAUUGCAUGGUCCAAUGAAGUGCUUGAAUCAUGGCGACAUGGAUGAUUCACUACCCAUGACAUUACGAGAAGUCCACUGAACCUUAUCAUUUAGAAGAAGAGAAGUCAUAACAAGGUUUUUGUAGGUGAACUUGUGGAAG
Molecule: ribosomal RNA, 1564 nt
Filed under: Durio zibethinus
Lineage: Eukaryota; Viridiplantae; Streptophyta; Magnoliopsida; Malvales; Malvaceae
Description: SSU rRNA
Rfam family: Eukaryotic small subunit ribosomal RNA
Source: RNAcentral